This 479-nucleotide small RNA is filed under the name Pan troglodytes (chimpanzee). RNAcentral's name for it is "retained intron". Lineage: Eukaryota; Metazoa; Chordata; Mammalia; Primates; Hominidae. The record is from RNAcentral.
GCCGUGGGGCGGCAGAGCGGGUGGGAAGGACGCCUGGGAGCUGGACCCAGUCUCAGCGUGGCACUUCCCACAGGGCCGCCCAAGAGUGUCCCCGGCCGCGCCGUGCGCCCUGAGCCUCCCGCGCCGGCCCCCGCGGCCCUGGAACCCGCGCCGGUGGUGGCGCUGGUGUUGGCAGCCUUCGUGCUGGGCGCCGCGCUGGCCGCCGGGCUGGGCCUCGUCUGUGCGCACUCAGCGCCCCACGCCCCUGGCCCGCCCGCGAGAGCCUCGCCCAGCGGUCCCCAGCCCAGGAGGUCCCAGUGAGGAAGGGAUGGUGCGCCCCCAACGUGGUCGGGAGAUACACCCAGCUACCAAUUCGGGACCAGGACCAAGAGGACCGGACCCGCCUCCCUGGACCUCGGACCUGAUGGGGCCACGACCCCUGCGCUUCUCUCCUCCCCCUGUCCCUCCCACCUGUGCUCAAAAUAAACCUCUGGACUGAC